Molecule: signal recognition particle RNA, 249 nt
Filed under: Fusibacter paucivorans
Lineage: Bacteria; Bacillati; Bacillota; Clostridia; Eubacteriales; Fusibacteraceae
Description: signal recognition particle sRNA large type
Rfam family: Bacterial large signal recognition particle RNA
About the family: The signal recognition particle (SRP) is a universally conserved ribonucleoprotein involved in the co-translational targeting of proteins to membranes. Archaeal SRP consists of a 7S RNA and homologues of the eukaryotic SRP19 and SRP54 proteins. In most bacteria, the SRP consists of a 4.5S RNA and the Ffh protein (a homologue of the eukaryotic SRP54 protein).
Source: RNAcentral
CCGUGCUAGAUGGGAAAUUAGCAAUUUCUUGUAACCUGCUGCUUUGCAGGGUCGAUGCUCAGUGGAGGGUAACGCCAUUAUCUCUAAGCGUUUGAUGUUGAUCAUUGGGUCUUGCGCAAUAGAAACUUAUGAACCUCGUCAGGUCCGGAAGGAAGCAGCGAUAAGUGAGUAUUUCUAUGUGCCGCAAGGGUGCCUGAGAGGAGUCGGCGACAUUGAUAGUGAAUUGUUUAUUCGAAGCUGAGUGCACGG